Molecule: ribosomal RNA, 451 nt
Filed under: uncultured Priestia sp.
Lineage: Bacteria; Bacillati; Bacillota; Bacilli; Caryophanales; Bacillaceae
Description: bacterial SSU rRNA
Rfam family: Bacterial small subunit ribosomal RNA
Source: RNAcentral
GUAGGGAAUCUUCCGCAAUGGACGAAAGUCUGACGGAGCAACGCCGCGUGAACGAUGAAGGCCUUCGGGUCGUAAAGUUCUGUUGUUAGGGAAGAACAAGUGCUAGUUGAAUAAGCUGGCACCUUGACGGUACCUAACCAGAAAGCCACGGCUAACUACGUGCCAGCAGCCGCGGUAAUACGUAGGUGGCAAGCGUUGUCCGGAAUUAUUGGGCGUAAAGCGCGCGCAGGCGGUUUCUUAAGUCUGAUGUGAAAGCCCCCGGCUCAACCGGGGAGGGUCAUUGGAAACUGGGAAACUUGAGUGCAGAAGAGGAAAGUGGAAUUCCAAGUGUAGCGGUGAAAUGCGUAGAGAUUUGGAGGAACACCAGUGGCGAAGGCGACUUUCUGGUCUGUAACUGACGCUGAGGCGCGAAAGCGUGGGGAGCAAACAGGAUUAGAAACCCCAGUAGUCC